GUUACUUUAAUUGAGAAUUUGGUUGUUGUUGUUACUUUAGACCUUUACUGACCUACAUUUCAGAAGGAAAUAUUGUACACUACAUUUAUCUGAGAAUGACACAGUGGUAAAAGAAGUAUUUAAAUCUUUUAUAUAAAUCAAAUUAAAACAUUUAUUAGGAUUCCAGCAUGCUUGAAGGCAUUUUAAUGCUGCUUUGAAGUCAUUCUUGAUUCAUUACGGUUGUAAAAUCAUAAAACUACAAUUCCCAGAAUGCAACGGGCGUAUUUUAAUCCAACCAUUGCACUGUUCCGGGUUGACCAUGUACUGCCAUCGUCCGGCUGUCGUAGUAAAUGCAAGAAAACGUGUCCAUCGACACACAUAACCAUGCACGCAGCUCAUACCGGACCAGCACCAACAGAAAUGUAGAGAUGGAUUAGAAAAUUAUGUGCCUCGACUGUCAUCAUCAACAUGUUCCCGGGAGUUUUCUAUGCACUGCUGGCAGGUUUCCUCGGGGCCGUGGCCUCGUCUUCGGCCAAACUAUCCCUGGGAGCCGACUAUCUGAAGGGAGUCUGUGAAACCGGACUCCGGACGUGGGGCGAGCAGCGGAAAUUUAGACAAGCGGACGAAACAACUGCCUGUGACCGGCUCCAUAUUCCUCUGAGGCUGCUGUGUGGUGGCCUGCUUUUCACCUGCAAUGCUGUGAUGUGGACCUUCCUUGCAAAAGCACUCAGGUACUUUUCUUCCUCCACCCGCACCACUGUGACCACCACCGCCUCCAACUUCAUAUCUUCUGCGUUCCUGGGCCAGUUGAUUUUUGGUGAAGCCCAGAUAACGCUGUGGUGGGUUGGCAUCUCUCUGACCUUCUCUGGCCUGCUGGUACUCCAGAGGGUUUCACCACAGGAUAGGCAACCGAAUGCGGUCACAAGGAAGGACAAAUAAUAUGUCUUGUCUCCACUAGGUCAGGUCAGCAAGGCUCCAUAGGGUGUGGUUUGGUUGGCGUCUCCUCUGAUUUUACUUCUCACCAAAGAAAACUGAAAUCUUAAAAGUGUAUUUGGUAGAACUUAUUUUACAAAAGUAUUGAAUUCUCUUUCUGCACUACGGCAAAAGAACCAAUGUUGUUGAUUAGACUAAAUAAUUUGGAAACUGUGACCAUUCAUCCUUCAGUUUUAUGCUUGUGCAAACUGUGAAACCUGAUUGACUCAGCCUUGUUCUAAAAUCAGAGGGCAUGUCGGCCGGUACAGUCUGACUAGUGGAGACAAGCUAAUGAUGCCUACGUCCAGAUUCGUAGAUGCUCAAAAGUCAUUUAUGCCUAUAGGCUUUCAAUGAAGCAAAAAUGAUACUAGCUUUACUUUAUGUUUGGGGAAGAUGUUUAAUCAACAACAGCACAGCUCAUGAGCGAACAAAACAGAUGAAGGAAGGGAAGACACAAAAAAAGAGUUUGGGAAAUAUGCUCAUUUGCUUCGUUGCUGAGAGUUCGAUGAGAACAUCAAUACCAGUCUCAUGUCUGGAGGGUAAAUUUGAAGUAAAUGUCAUGUUUGAGCCAGUAUCUGUUAGCACAGUGUAAACAGUUAUCCUGGGUCUGUCAGAAGGAAACAAACUCCACCUAUAAACAAAUCCAAAUGUCACUAAUGAACACAUUAUAUCUUUUUUCAGAAUCUGCAGAAAAACAAAAAUGUAAAAUGACAAUUUGUGAUUUAAGAGGGGUGUUUCUUUGACACUUUGGCCUCCAACAACAAGUCUCUGAGAAGUCAUUAUUCUGGACCUAGAAAAAUAUAACAUCCCGUAAGACCACUAUUUAUCGUUUUUAUUCUUUGGCUUUCCCAGCUCGUUGUGCUAAGCUAACGAGCUACUGACUGUAGCUUCAUAUUUAGUGUACAGACAUGAGAGUAAGAUCAGUCUUCUCAUUUAACACUACACAGGAAAACGAAGAAGCUUAUUUCCCAAAAUGUCAACUUGCUCCUUUUGGGCUAUGUUCAAAAGUAAUGGACAAAUAGAAUCAUUUGACAUGUGUGUGGUUUUAUCAUAAUCAACCUGUGUUGUUGUCAUGUAUUGCAGGUCAAAGCUUUUGUAAUUUUCACAUUCCUUAAAGGUAGGGUUGGCAAUCCUGGAAAAACCAGUAAGAGGAAGGUCAAUUUUUAAAGUAGUCAGUCCUAUCUAUACAGUUAGAGCUGACUACUGUUGGUGUUUUCCCCACCCAUGGCUGCAUGUAAAAGGAGUCUGUUCCAUCCGGCGGUCUUCUCGCUCUCAUAUUACAUGCAUGUAGCAACUUCUGGCAUGAACAACAAUAUUACCUAUAAGGCUGUAUGUCCUAAAGGGGAAGACCUGCUGCCACACAUGACAGAUUUUAUUCUUUAUGUUGUCAGUGCAUUGCAAGUGGGAUGAAAUGAGAAUUUCAAGAUAAGCAACAAAAAAAUGCUUCUGAAAAGAAUCGCCAACCCUACAUUUAAGUUGCUCUGACACCCAUUGCAUUUUCUGUAUGCACAAGGCAAUGUUAUAAGUACAACAUUUAGCUAAUGAGGUGCACUUCCACUAGUAAUAAUCCUACUAAUGUAGCGCUGAAAGGCUCAUGCCUAAUAAGAAGUUGCUCUCUGUCUGGGUUUUUCUUUUUCUUUAUUGCUGAAACCUUAACCUCAAGAUCUGAGCAUGACACAGUUUGAGUCAUAGGCAGUUGGUCUUCCAUUUCAUGAUAGAUGUGUACGUGCUCUUACCAAGGUCUUGAACUCAAAUAUCUCACACCAGAGCAUCCUGGAGCACCAUUUCACCUCAGAGUGAUGUCCCUGUGAGCUGCUUCAUUUUAUUAAACUUGUGGCCAAAUUGUCUUUCCAGUAUCAGAGACAUCAUGCAGCCUGAUUGCCUGUUGACCUGGAUGUGCCCUGCAUUUGCAAUCUCAUAUUAAUCUCUCACCUCUUGGGGUUUCAUAGACACCUGGCUUCAUUACAAGCUUCCUUUUACUUCCCAGGAGUUGUCAGCCAGAGUGCAAUAAAGUUAUACUUCCUCUAUAUUUCAUAACACUGUGAUAUGUGUAACAGCAUGGGAAUUUGAAGCAUUAAUAACUGAGCAAAAAAAAAAAAAAACUGGCAAUAAAUGCUACUAAAGGGACAUUUCUGUUGCCAUAAAUCAGAUGAGUAAAUAUGCUGUAGUAUACAGGGACAUGGCUGAGCAUAAUAUUAAAGGCUGCUUUAUAGAACAGAUUACAUUCUGCUGUUGUUAUGGUACAUAUCCUAAUAAAAAUGCAUAAUGGUAGCUGUGGCACCUGUCUGUAAUAUCACACAGCAGCAACACAAAGAUACUCUAGACGUCAUUCCAGCUGCUGCUGCUGCUGCUGUGCAGGUUUGGCAUCAUGUAAUUAUAUGCAUCCCUGUCAAUGUGACUGCAGUGACAAUGUGAUCUUAAGGCUUUCAUAUUAAAGGUUGGCUUAGGCAUGUUUUACAGCAGGGCUGAACUCACCAUGCAGGGCUUUUCACCACUCGCAUCCAUGCGCAUGCAGAGACAGCAGAAGUGAUUUCACUUGUUUUUGCUGCCAUGUUUUGGGCUCUUGGGUGUGUUGCAUUACAUGAAAGAAUAGUUUGACAUUCUGGGAAAAAAACCAUAUUAGCUUUCUUGCCAAGAUUUGGAUAACACCCCAUGGUGAGCUAAGCUAAUCGACUCUGGCUCCAGAUACAAAUGCAUACUCAGAGGUAUGAGAAUGGUAUCGAUCUCUUUGAGCUCUCAACAAGAAAAUUAAUACAUGCACUUUCAAAAUAUGUUAAAGAAAACUUUAAUAUCUGUAAUGUUUGCUUUUGAUUCUAAAAAUAUUUUAGUGCCUGGCUUUUUUCCACUUAACAGCCUGAUAUGAGGGUAAACCAUCUAUUUGUGAACCCACUCUCACUGUAACAUAACCAGUCAGAGCUUUUGCAGUGGCUGCAUUUCUAGCUCUGAGACAGCAGCAUGCCGUGUGCACACAAACUGUAGAUGUGGUUGUACAGAGAUUAGAAAACCACUGAAAUAUAGUCUUGACAAGGUCUGUCACACUGCACACUGACAAGUCAAUGUGCUGCAAUGGAAAAACAAAAGUAUCAGGAAUCAUUACAUUUUAGAACUCUAAAUAUGAAUGUGUGCUGUUGUUAAUUUGCUGGUGCUCUGUAACCUCAGUCCAGAGGCUGCUGUACUGACAAAAUUCACAUUGUGUUCAAUGUUCUAACCAAAUCAAGAGUGUGAUUAGAAGGAGAGACUCUGCCCUGAUAUAAACCAUACAUGUCUUUCAGAUGAUGUGAAACAAACAUUUGUAAAUGUGUAAAUAUAUUCUGUUAACAGGAAACACCUAAAGGGAUGUGUCAUCUCCACUGAGAGAAGAAACACUACUAAAUUAUGAAAUAAACAUCUCAUCUGAUGAACAAGAGUCUCUUGUCUUCAUCCCUCA
Monopterus albus (swamp eel) is the source of this 4378-nucleotide long non-coding RNA. RefSeq lists it as uncharacterized. Lineage: Eukaryota; Metazoa; Chordata; Actinopteri; Synbranchiformes; Synbranchidae. The record is from RefSeq and is a predicted model, not a curated record. The transcript has 3 exons.